Molecule: ribosomal RNA, 497 nt
Filed under: uncultured bacterium
Lineage: Bacteria
Description: partial 16S ribosomal RNA
Rfam family: Bacterial small subunit ribosomal RNA
Source: RNAcentral
GACGAACGCUGGCGGCGUGCCUAAUACAUGCAAGUAGAACGCUGAAGAGAGGAGCUUGCUCUUCUUGGAUGAGUUGCGAACGGGUGAGUAACGCGUAGGUAACCUGCCUGGUAGCGGGGGAUAACUAUUGGAAACGAUAGCUAAUACCGCAUAAAAUGGAUUAUCGCAUGAUAAUCCAUUGAAAGGUGCAAAUGCAUCACUACCAGAUGGACCUGCGUUGUAUUAGCUAGUUGGUGGGGUAACGGCUCACCAAGGCGACGAUACAUAGCCGACCUGAGAGGGUGAUCGGCCACACUGGGACUGAGACACGGCCCAGACUCCUACGGGAGGCAGCAGUAGGGAAUCUUCGGCAAUGGACGGAAGUCUGACCGAGCAACGCCGCGUGAGUGAAGAAGGGUUUCGGAUCGUAAAGCUCUGUUGUAAGAGAAGAACGAGUGCGAGAGUGGAAAGUUCACACUGUGACGGUAUCUUACCAGAAAGGGACGGCUAACUACGUG